RNAcentral lists this ribosomal RNA (785 nucleotides) under Haptophyta environmental samples. RNAcentral's name for it is "eukaryotic LSU rRNA". It matches the Rfam family "Eukaryotic large subunit ribosomal RNA", at positions 134 to 1004 of the family's 3401-position model. Lineage: Eukaryota; Haptophyta. The record is from RNAcentral.
CCCCCCGAAUUGUAGUCUAGAAAGGCGCCAUCGGCCGCGUCCGCCGCUCAAAUCCCUUGGAACGGGGUAUCGGAGAAGGUGAGAAUCCUGUGCCGUGGCGGUUCGCGGUCGCACGAUGCGUCCUUGCAGAGUCGGGUUGCUUGGGAUUGCAGCUUGAAUUGGGUGGUAAAUUCCAUCUAAAGCUAAAUACUGGCGAGAGACCGAUAGCGAACAAGUACCGUGAGGGAAAGAUGCAAAGAACUUUGAAAAGAGAGUUAAAGAGUGCUUGAAAUCGGCGAGAGGAAACCCGUUUGUGCCCGGUGUCGCGUCUCCGAAUCAGCCGUCUUGAAGCGGUGCCUUUUGGUGGCGCGGGUUCGCUGCGACUGUUGCUGCGUGAGAAACUCCGGGGGGGCUUCGGUGAGCCCGGUCAUAGCGCGGCGGCGGUCUUGGCGGACGGAACGGGCACAACCGACCCGUCUAGAAACACGGACCAAGGAGUCUGACACGGAUGCGAGUACCCGGGUGGCAAACCCGCGUGCGCAAUGAAAGUGAAGGGCGUGCCCCGCCAACCGACCUUGAUCUUCUGUGAAGGGUUUGAGUCGAGCAUCACUGUCGGGACCCGAAAGAUGGUGAACUAUGCCUGAGCAGGGCGAAGCCAGGGGAAACUCUGGUGGAGGCUCGCAGCGAUACUGACGUGCAAAUCGUUCGUCAAACUUGGGUAUAGGGGCGAAAGACUAAUCGAACCAUCUAGUAGCUGGUUCCCUCCGAAGUUUCCCUCAGGAUAGCUGGAACUUGUCGAGUUUUAU